CAAUGGGCGAAAGCCUGACCCAGCAACGCCGCGUGUGUGAUGAAGGCCUUCGGGUCGUAAAGCACUUUUCUGGGAGAUGAGAAAGGACAGUAUCCCAGGAAUAAGUCUCGGCUAACUACGUGCCGGCAGCCGCGGUAAAACGUAGGAGGCGAGCGUUAUCCGGAUUCACUGGGCGUAAAGCGCGUGCAGGUGGCGCGGUAAGUUGGGCGUGAAAUCUCCCGGCUCAACUGGGAGAGGUCGUCCAAUACUACCGUGCUUGAGAGCAGAAGAGGAAGAUGGAAUUCCCGGUGUAGUGGUGAAAUGCGUAGAUAUCGGGAGGAACACCAGUGGCGAAGGCGAUCUUCUGGUCUGUUUCUGACACUCAGACGCGACAGCUAGGGUAGUAAACGGGAUUAGAGACCCCGGUAAUCCUAGCCGUAAACGAUGUGAACUUGGCGUUGGUGGGUUAAACUCCAUCAGUGCCGCAGCAAACGCGAUAAGUUCACCGCCUGGGGACUACGGCCGCAAGGUUA
This 512-nucleotide ribosomal RNA is filed under the name uncultured Chloroflexota bacterium. RNAcentral's name for it is "bacterial SSU rRNA". It matches the Rfam family "Bacterial small subunit ribosomal RNA", at positions 369 to 896 of the family's 1533-position model. The record is from RNAcentral. Lineage: Bacteria; Bacillati; Chloroflexota.